Molecule: ribosomal RNA, 642 nt
Filed under: uncultured Hebeloma
Lineage: Eukaryota; Fungi; Basidiomycota; Agaricomycetes; Agaricales; Cortinariaceae
Description: eukaryotic LSU rRNA
Rfam family: 5.8S ribosomal RNA (bases 214-367)
Source: RNAcentral
UGGCCCUCUUGGGGGCAUGUGCACACCUACCAUCCUCAUCUCUCCACCUGUGCACCUCUUGUAGAUUUGGAAUUGAUUAUCCGAGGCAACUCGGUCGUGAGGACUGCUAGCACUUAGCUGGCUUUCUUUGCAAUUCCAGGUCUAUGUUUUUCAUAUACCCCAUUGUAUGUAACAGAAUGUAUCAUUGGGCCCUUGUGCCUAUAAACCUUAUACAACUUUCAGCAACGGAUCUCUUGGCUCUCGCAUCGAUGAAGAACGCAGCGAAAUGCGAUAAGUAAUGUGAAUUGCAGAAUUCAGUGAAUCAUCGAAUCUUUGAACGCACCUUGCGCUCCUUGGUAUUCCGAGGAGCAUGCCUGUUUGAGUGUCAUUAAAUUCUCAACCAUUAUCAACUUUUGCUGAUAAUGGCUUGGAUGUGGGGGUCUAUUUUGCUGGCUUCUCAGAUAGUCAGCUCCCCUUAAAUGCAUUAGCCGGUGCCCCGCGUGGACUGUCUAUUGGUGUGAUAAUUAUCUACGCUAUAGACAUCUGCAAUCAUAUGGGUUUGCGCUGCUUCUAACAGUCUGUUGAUUCAGACAAUACAUGACAAUUUGACCUCAAAUCAGGUAGGACUACCCGCUGAACUUAAGCAUAUCAAUAAGCGGAGGA